This 337-nucleotide unclassified non-coding RNA is filed under the name soil metagenome. Its description in RNAcentral is "partial contains 5.8S ribosomal RNA, internal transcribed spacer 2, and large subunit ribosomal RNA". The stretch from base 1 to 120 matches the Rfam family "5.8S ribosomal RNA", at positions 35 to 154 of the family's 154-position model. The record is from RNAcentral.
GAUGAAGAACGCAGCGAAAUGCGAUAAGUAGUGUGAAUUGCAGAAUUCAGUGAAUCAUCGAAUCUUUGAACGCACAUUGCGCCCCUUGGUAUUCCAUGGGGCAUGCCUGUUCGAGCGUCAUUUGUACCUUCAAGCUCUGCUUGGUGUUGGGUGUUUGUCUCGCCUCUGCGUGUAGACUCGCCUCAAAACAAUUGGCAGCCGGCGUAUUGAUUUCGGAGCGCAGUACAUCUCGCGCUUUGCACUCAUAACGACGACGUCCAAAAGUACAUUAUUACACUCUUGACCUCGGAUCAGGUAGGGAUACCCGCUGAACUUAAGCAUAUCAAUAAGCGGAGGA